AUUGAACGCUGGCGGCAUGCCUUACACAUGCAAGUCGAACGGCAGCACGGGAGCAAUCCUGGUGGCGAGUGGCGAACGGGUGAGUAAUAUAUCGGAACGUGCCCGGUCGUGGGGGAUAACGUAGCGAAAGCUACGCUAAUACCGCAUACGAUCUACGGAUGAAAGCGGGGGAUCGCAAGACCUCGCGCGAUUGGAGCGGCCGAUAUCAGAUUAGGUAUUGGUGAGGUAAAGGCUCACCAAGCCGACGAUCUGUAGCUGGUCUGAGAGGACGACCAGCCACACUGGGACUGAGACACGGCCCAGACUCCUACGGGAGGCAGCAGU
Molecule: ribosomal RNA, 324 nt
Filed under: uncultured bacterium
Lineage: Bacteria
Description: bacterial SSU rRNA
Rfam family: Bacterial small subunit ribosomal RNA
Source: RNAcentral